CCUACGGGAGGCAGCAGUGGGGAAUUUUGGACAAUGGGCGCAAGCCUGAUCCAGCAAUGCCGCGUGCAGGAUGAAGGCCUUCGGGUUGUAAACUGCUUUUGUACGGAACGAAACGGCGAGCUCUAAUACAGUUUGCUAAUGACGGUACCGUAAGAAUAAGCACCGGCUAACUACGUGCCAGCAGCCGCGGUAAUACGUAGGGUGCGAGCGUUAAUCGGAAUUACUGGGCGUAAAGCGUGCGCAGGCGGUGAUGUAAGACAGAUGUGAAAUCCCCGGGCUCAACCUGGGACCUGCAUUUGUGACUGCAUCGCUAGAGUACGGCAGAGGGGGAUGGAAUUCCGCGUGUAGCAGUGAAAUGCGUAGAUAUGCGGAGGAACACCGAUGGCGAAGGCAAUCCCCUGGGCCUGUACUGACGCUCAUGCACGAAAGCGUGGGGAGCAAACAGGAUUAGAUACCCUGGUAGUCCACGCCCUAAACGAUGUCAACUGGUUGUGGGUNUUCAUUCGCUCAGUGACG
Molecule: ribosomal RNA, 516 nt
Filed under: uncultured beta proteobacterium
Lineage: Bacteria; Pseudomonadati; Pseudomonadota; Betaproteobacteria
Description: bacterial SSU rRNA
Rfam family: Bacterial small subunit ribosomal RNA
Source: RNAcentral